Molecule: long non-coding RNA, 1529 nt
Organism: Amphiprion ocellaris (clown anemonefish)
Lineage: Eukaryota; Metazoa; Chordata; Actinopteri; Pomacentridae
Source: Ensembl
AAAAUGUUUUUUAUUCUCAUAGAAACCUCAACAGUUCAUUCCAGAGGAGAUGCUGCUAUCUAGUGGUGAGCAGCGACAGGACACAAAGCUGACGGUUACCAUGACAACAGCAAUAACACUGAACGUGAUUGGUUAAAGAGCACGACUGUUAAAGGGCAAGUUAUGGAAAUACACAGAACUUACACUGAACUGACAUUACCUGGAGGGUCCACCUCAGGUUCUGGACCUGUAGGAUCCACCUCAGGUUCUGGACCUGUAGGGUCCAGCUCAGAGGUUCUGGACCUGUAGGGUCCACCUCAAGGGUUCUGGACCUGUCAGAACCUGUAGGGUCCACCUCAGAGGUUCUGGUUUGUCCUCCUUUGGACUGGACCGGAUCAGACAGUAAAUAAACCAUGACUCUGCUCUGCAUAGUUCUGACACCAGAAUCUGGAUUUAUUCCGCGUCCUGAACAGAACCCACAUGCUGGUUCAGGAACUGGUCCUCGGAGCAGAACCAGAGAUGACCUGUAGUGACAGGUCAGGUGGUCCUGUUUGUAGAUGGCCUUCAUGUUCUCACGUCUCCAUCAAAAAGCAGAAGAUCUGAGUCAGUGAGCUCAGGGUCCGGUUAGAGGGCCCAUCUGUCCUUACUGUCUUUAUGUAAACAUGUCCAUCAGAACCGGCUCCUUGUCAGUCAGUAAAGUCCAUCAGAACGGGCUGCUGGUUCUUCAGAAGUGAACGUGUCCAGAGUGCGGGUCCGGUGGUGGUCCUCCAGGAGGAACGUCCUGCAGCAGGUUCCGGCCCAGGGGCCUACUAAGCGGGUAGGUCUGGGCCAUGGCCUCCUCGGUCCACUCUGUUCUGGACAGCAGCUGGUCCAUGUGGGGUCCUGGGGCCCGGUGCAGAAGGGGGUAGGGGCUGAUUGCAGGUUCUCGCUCCAGUAACGGGUGUCCGGGUCCUCGGUGUCCGUCGGGUCCAUAAGGGGCCACCGUGAGGAUGGAGGGGUCCCGGUCCAGCGGCUGCAGGGUCUGCUGGUCCAUAUGGUACAGCUGCUUUUUGUGGACCGGGCCGUGGUCCUGGUGGUCCAGGUGCAUGUGGUCAUGCAGUUUCUUCUGGUUCUGGAUGCUGUCUUGGGCCUGGUGGUUCAUCUGGAGGUGGUACUGUUGUCUCUUCUGGUUCUGGGUGUUGUCCUGGUCAUGCAGAUCCAUCUGAGGUUGGUACUGUGGUUUCUUCUGGGUCUGGGUGUGGUCCUUGUCCUGCAAGUCCACUGGAGCCUGGUACUGCUGCUGCUUUUUCUGGUUCUGGUUCUGGAUUUGGUCUUGGUGCUCCUGGUUCUCCUCCAGGUCCAUCUGGGCGUGGAACUGCUGCUUCUUCUGACUCUGGAUCUGAUUGUGGACCUGGUUCUUGAUGUCCUUCCAGUGUCGGCCCCUAAGGACCGGCUCCAGGUCCAGACAGCGCUGACAGACCUCCUUCCCCGGUACCGUCUGGACCAGCACAUGGACCGCCAGCUGCCUCCAGAUCGCCUCCUUCUCUGCAGAAGACCAGGGGCGGCGGCGG